GUGAAUCAUCAAAUUUUUGAACGCAAAUUGCACUCUCUGGUAUUCCGGAGAGUAUGCCUGUUUGAGGGUCAGUUUAAAUAAAAAUCGGUGGGGUUGCUGCCUUUCGUGGUCACGCACCGGAUUUGGGUCGUCUUGCCUUCGGUUAAGUGGCCUAAAAUUUUGCAUGAUUCUUUCCAACCUCAGUGAAUGAGUUUAGGGACCGUUCGGAAAAC
This 212-nucleotide unclassified non-coding RNA is filed under the name Glomus sp. RNAcentral's name for it is "partial contains 5.8S ribosomal RNA and internal transcribed spacer 2". The stretch from base 1 to 71 matches the Rfam family "5.8S ribosomal RNA", at positions 84 to 154 of the family's 154-position model. Lineage: Eukaryota; Fungi; Glomeromycota; Glomeromycetes; Glomerales; Glomeraceae. The record is from RNAcentral.